GACGAACGCUGGCGGCGUGCUUAACACAUGCAAGUCGAACGGAAAGGCCCUGCUUUUGUGGGGUGCUCGAGUGGCGAACGGGUGAGUAACACGUGAGUAACCUGCCCUUGACUUUGGGAUAACUUCAGGAAACUGGGGCUAAUACCGGAUAGGAGCUCCUGCUGCAUGGUGGGGGUUGGAAAGUUUCGGCGGUUGGGGAUGGACUCGCGGCUUAUCAGCUUGUUGGUGGGGUAGUGGCUUACCAAGGCUUUGACGGGUAGCCGGCCUGGGAGGGUGACCGGCCACAUUGGGACUGCGGUACGGCCCAGACUCCUACGGGAGGCAGCAGUGGGGAAUAUUGCACAAUGGGCGGAAGCCUGAUGCAGCAACGCCGCGUGCGGGAUGACGGCCUUCGGGUUAUAAACCGUUUUCGCCUGUGACGAAGCGUGAGUGACGGUAAUGGGUAAAGAAGCACCGGCUAACUACGUG
This 468-nucleotide ribosomal RNA is filed under the name uncultured bacterium. RNAcentral's name for it is "partial 16S ribosomal RNA". It matches the Rfam family "Bacterial small subunit ribosomal RNA", at positions 28 to 507 of the family's 1533-position model. The record is from RNAcentral.